GACGAACGCUGGCGGCGUGCCUAAUACAUGCAAGUAGAACGCUGAAGGAGGAGCUUGCUUCUCUGGAUGAGUUGCGAACGGGUGAGUAACGCGUAGGUAACCUGCCUGGUAGCGGGGGAUAACUAUUGGAAACGAUAGCUAAUACCGCAUAAGAGUAGAUGUUGCAUGACAUUUGCUUAAAAGGUGCAAUUGCAUCACUACCAGAUGGACCUGCGUUGUAUUAGCUAGUUGGUGGGGUAACGGCUCACCAAGGCGACGAUACAUAGCCGACCUGAGAGGGUGAUCGGCUACACUGGGACUGAGACACGGCCCAGACUCCUACGGGAGGCAGCAGUAGGGAAUCUUCGGCAAUGGACGGAAGUCUGACCGAGCAACGCCGCGUGAGUGAAGAAGGUUUUCGGAUCGUAAAGCUCUGUUGUAAGAGAAGAACGAGUGUGAGAGUGGAAAGUUCACACUGUGACGGUAUCUUACCAGAAAGGGACGGCUAACUACGUG
Molecule: ribosomal RNA, 495 nt
Filed under: uncultured bacterium
Lineage: Bacteria
Description: partial 16S ribosomal RNA
Rfam family: Bacterial small subunit ribosomal RNA
Source: RNAcentral